GAUGAACGCUGGCGGCGUGCCUAAUACAUGCAAGUCGAGCGAACAGACGAGGAGCUUGCUCCUCUGACGUUAGCGGCGGACGGGUGAGUAACACGUGGAUAACCUACCUAUAAGACUGGGAUAACUUCGGGAAACCGGAGCUAAUACCGGAUAAUAUAUUGAACCGCAUGGUUCAAUAGUGAAAGACGGUUUUGCUGUCACUUAUAGAUGGAUCCGCGCCGUAUUAGCUAGUUGGUAAGGUAACGGCUUACCAAGGCAACGAUGCGUAGCCGACCUGAGAGGGUGAUCGGCCACACUGGAACUGAGACACGGUCCAGACUCCUACGGGAGGCAGCAGCAGGGAAUCUUCCGCAAUGGGCGAAAGCUUGACGGAGCAACGCCGCGUGAGUGAUGAAGGUCUUCGGAUCGUAAAACUCUGUUAUUAGGGAAGAACAAAUGUGUAAGUAACUAUGCACGUCUUGACGGUACCUAAUCAGAAAGCCACGGCUAACUACGUG
RNAcentral lists this ribosomal RNA (497 nucleotides) under uncultured bacterium. RNAcentral describes it as "partial 16S ribosomal RNA". It matches the Rfam family "Bacterial small subunit ribosomal RNA", at positions 28 to 507 of the family's 1533-position model. The record is from RNAcentral.